GAUGAAGAUCGUAGCGAAAUGCGAUAAGUAGUGUGAAUUGCAGAAUUCAGUGAAUCAUCGAAUCUUUGAACGCACAUUGCGCCCCUUGGUAUCCCGAGGGGCAUGCCUGUUCGAGCGUCAUUUCACCUCUCAAGCCUGGCUUGGUGUUGGGCGACGUCCUCUUUGGGGACGCGCCUCGAAACGCUCGGCGGCGUGGCACCGGCUUUAAGCGUAGCAGAAUCUUUCGCUUUGGAAGUCGGGGCCCCGUCUGCCGGAAGACCUGCUCGCAAGGUUGACCUCGGAUCAGGCAGGGAUACCCGCUGAACUUAAGCAUAUCAAUAAGCGGAGGA
This 329-nucleotide unclassified non-coding RNA is filed under the name soil metagenome. RNAcentral's name for it is "partial contains 5.8S ribosomal RNA, internal transcribed spacer 2, and large subunit ribosomal RNA". The stretch from base 1 to 120 matches the Rfam family "5.8S ribosomal RNA", at positions 35 to 154 of the family's 154-position model. The record is from RNAcentral.